This 215-nucleotide small RNA is filed under the name Mesocricetus auratus (golden hamster). RNAcentral's name for it is "Metazoan signal recognition particle RNA (ENSMAUG00000002539.1)". The stretch from base 73 to 187 matches the Rfam family "Metazoan signal recognition particle RNA", at positions 118 to 231 of the family's 299-position model. From Rfam's summary of the family: The signal recognition particle (SRP) is a universally conserved ribonucleoprotein. It is involved in the co-translational targeting of proteins to membranes. The record is from RNAcentral. Lineage: Eukaryota; Metazoa; Chordata; Mammalia; Rodentia; Cricetidae.
UCAGGGUGCCUGGUUCGGUCCCAUGCUGGUUCCCUAGCUGUAAGACUGGGGUCCGUGAGCUCCCACUUGCUCAGGUUGGCAUCAAUAUGGUGACCUCCCAGGAGUGGGGGAAUCACCAGAUUGCCUAAGGAGGGGUGAACCAGCCCAGGUCGGUAAUGGAGCAGGUCAAAAUUCCUGUGCUGAUCAGUUGAACUUUUUCUUUAAGUAACAUUCUU